RNAcentral lists this ribosomal RNA (484 nucleotides) under uncultured bacterium. Its description in RNAcentral is "partial 16S ribosomal RNA". It matches the Rfam family "Bacterial small subunit ribosomal RNA", at positions 30 to 507 of the family's 1533-position model. The record is from RNAcentral.
AUUGAACGCUGGCGGCAGGCCUAACACAUGCAAGUCGAGCGGAUGAAGGGAGCUUGCUCCUGGAUUCAGCGGCGGACGGGUGAGUAAUGCAUAGGAAUCUGCCUGGUAGUGGGGGAUAACGUCCGGAAACGGGCGCUAAUACCGCAUACGUCCUGCGGGAGAAAGUGGGGGAUCUUCGGACCGCACGCUAUCAGAUGAGCCUAGGUCGGAUUAGCUAGUUGGUGGGGUAAAGGCCUACCAAGGCGACGAUCCGUAACUGGUCUGAGUGGAUGAUCAGUCACACUGGAACUGAGACACGGUCCAGACUCCUACGGGAGGCAGCAGUGGGGAAUAUUGGACAAUGGGCGAAAGCCUGAUCCAGCCAUGCCGCGUGUGUGAAGAAGGUCUUCGGAUUGUAAAGCACUUUAAGUUGGGAGGAAGGGCAGUAAGUUAAUACCUUGCUGUUUUGACGUUACCAACAGAAUAAGCACCGGCUAACUUCGUG